AACGUAGGACGCAAGCGUUAUCCGGAGUUACUGGGCGUAAAGGGCGGGUAGGCGGCCUGGUAAGUGGGGUGUGAAAUCUCCCGGCUCAACCGGGAGGGAGCACUCGAGACUGCCGGACUGGAGAGCAGCAGAGGAGCGUGGAAUUCCGGGUGGAGUAGUGAAAUGCGUAGAGAUCCGGAGGAACACCAGAGGCGAAGGCGGCGCUCUGGGCUGACACUGACGCUGAAGCGCGAAAGCUAGGGGAGCGAACGGG
Molecule: ribosomal RNA, 253 nt
Filed under: uncultured prokaryote
Description: partial 16S ribosomal RNA
Rfam family: Bacterial small subunit ribosomal RNA
Source: RNAcentral